Molecule: non-coding RNA, 267 nt
Organism: Pelobates cultripes (western spadefoot toad)
Lineage: Eukaryota; Metazoa; Chordata; Amphibia; Anura; Pelobatidae
Source: the annotation of a GenBank genome assembly
CUUAAGAACUCCUUUGAACUCGACUGGCGAACAACAUCUAUAACGUACUUAGGGGUUAAGAUCGCCGCUCCUAUUAGCAACAUAGUAAAGCUCAAUUAUAAGCCCCUCAUACAUCUAUGCACCACAGAAAUACAUAAAUGGAAGAAUGCAAAACUGUCCUGGUUAGGCCGAGUGAAUGCAUAUAAGAUGAUGCUAUUGCCAAGGUUACUGUAUAUAUUCCGCAUGCUCACGAUAGACAUCCAAUCCAUAAAUCGUUACAAGCCAUAU